GACAAACGCUGGCGGCAUGCCUAACACAUGCAAGUCGAACGGACAGAACAGGGAAGCUUUUCGGAGUGGAACUGGAAAGUUAGUGGCGGAUGGGUGAGUAACGCGUGGACAACCUACCUUGUAAAGGGGAAUAACCUCGAGAAAUCGAAGCUAAUACCCCAUAAUAACCUUGCUUCGCAUGAAGUAAGGAGGAAAGGCGGCCUUAGCGCUGUCGAUACAAGAUGGGUCCGCGUCUGAUUAGCUAGUUGGUGAGGUAAAGGCGCACCAAGGCGACGAUCAGUAGCCGGCCUGAGAGGGUGAACGGCCACAUUGGGACUGAGACACGGCCCAAACUCCUACGGGAGGCAGCAGUGGGGAAUCUUCCGCAAUGGGCGAAAGCCUGACGGAGCAAUGCCGCGUGAGUGAAGAGGGCCUUCGGGUUGUAAAACUCUGUCCUUAUCGAAGAGAGAGUGUUGUAGUAACUGACAAUACUAGGACGGUAGAUGAGGAGGAAGCCCCGGCUAACUAUGUG
RNAcentral lists this ribosomal RNA (511 nucleotides) under uncultured bacterium. RNAcentral describes it as "partial 16S ribosomal RNA". It matches the Rfam family "Bacterial small subunit ribosomal RNA", at positions 28 to 507 of the family's 1533-position model. The record is from RNAcentral.